This is a non-coding RNA of Hydra vulgaris (swiftwater hydra), 896 nucleotides long. The record is from RefSeq and is a predicted model, not a curated record. Lineage: Eukaryota; Metazoa; Cnidaria; Hydrozoa; Anthoathecata; Hydridae.
UAUAUAGAAGAAGCAAUUUAAGAUGACCUUAAUUGGCUUAAAUUUAAUAGUCAACCAUGGACUGAAGUGUGUCAUAAAUGGAAAUCAACUUCAAAAUUUAGGUUGAAAUGUUUUCAAUCUGGCACCAAAGACAUUCCAAAUUUUAAACUUCUUUUGGAUCUAAAAGCAGAUGCAUUGGUAAAUAUCGAUUUUACUCAAUUGAGUAUGCAAAAGAAUUAUGAGCAUUGUAGCAACUUUAUGUUUCAAAAAAUUCCACUACAUGCAAAAAAAUUGAUAGGCUUAGUUGCCAAGAAAUAUUCCAUGCAAGAUGGGGUAGAAGAUGAGACAGCUGCUUUUUUGGCUAUUGCGCGAUUGACAUGCUGCAAAUGUUCCAUCCAUUUAUGCUAAGAAGCAAAGAGAAAAUCCUAGACUCCUAGUGUUAAAGAAUGUGGCGAAUCAUUUCUUUUUCUAGCCAAUUCAGUUGAAAAUGCUGAGCAAUCAAUUAAUAACAUCAGGAACUUAUAUAAUGACCUGAAGCUGACACUUCAACCUUUAGUUUAUGCUGUUCCACCAAACAUUGCUGUUGUUGUGUACAACAAUCACAGAUGGUCAUUUAAAACCCCUUUAAAAGCAAUGGAUUUUUCGUUUAAACUGAUUCAAAUCUUGGAUAAGGAAUACAAUAUUGCAAGUUUUCCAGCUUGGAUGUUUUUUCAAAUAUAUAUAUAUAUAUAUAUUGUUUUAAUUGCCCCGAUUUUGACGUAUCAUGCCCAAAAGCAAGUGAAUUGGCUUCUGAGUUGAAUUUAUAAGUUUAGUUGACUGUCUUGAAUUGUUAUAAGUAUAGACUGUAUAGUUGCAUAAUGCGUAAAAAAAAAAAUGUUUGUAGAUGUGGUAAUAAUACAAGCUAAAACAAAUGUAAA